CAGCAGCCGCGGGAAAACGUAGGGUGUAAGCGUUAAUCGGAAUUACUGGGCGUAAAGCGUGCGCAGGCGGUGUUGUAAGACUGAUGUGAAAUCCCCGGGCUCAACCUGGGAGCUGCAUUGGUGACUGCAACGCUGGAGUGCGGCAGAGGGGGAUGGAAUUCCGCGUGUAGCAGUGAAAUGCGUAGAUAUGCGGAGGAACACCGAUGGCGAAGGCAAUCCCCUGGGCCUGCACUGACGCUCAUGCACGAAAGCGUGGGGAGCAAACAGGAUUAGAGACCCCCGUAGUCCCUGUCUCUUAUAA
RNAcentral lists this ribosomal RNA (301 nucleotides) under uncultured bacterium. RNAcentral's name for it is "partial 16S ribosomal RNA". It matches the Rfam family "Bacterial small subunit ribosomal RNA", at positions 509 to 809 of the family's 1533-position model. The record is from RNAcentral.